CCCGAUGGAGGGGGAUAACUACUGGAAACGGUAGCUAAUACCGCAUAACGUCGCAAGACCAAAGAGGGGGACCUUCGGGCCUCUUGCCAUCGGAUGUGCCCAGAUGGGAUUAGCUAGUAGGUGGGGUAACGGCUCACCUAGGCGACGAUCCCUAGCUGGUCUGAGAGGAUGACCAGCCACACUGGAACUGAGACACGGUUCCAUGACUCUCUACGGGAUGGCAUGCAGUGGGGAAUAUUGCACAAUGUGUGCUGCAAGCCUGAUGCAGCCAUGCCGCGUGUAUGAAGAAGGCCUUCGGGUUGUAAAGUUACUUUCAGCGAGGAGGAAGGCGUUGUGGUUAAUAACCGGCAACGAUUGACGUUACUUCGCAAGUAUAGAAGCACCGUGCUAACNUNCCGUGCCAAGCCAGCCGCUGGUUAAUACNGAGGGUGCAAGCCGUUAAUCUGGAAUUACUGGGCGUAAUAGCCGCCACCGCCAGGCNGGUCUUGUC
Molecule: ribosomal RNA, 490 nt
Filed under: uncultured bacterium
Lineage: Bacteria
Description: bacterial SSU rRNA
Rfam family: Bacterial small subunit ribosomal RNA
Source: RNAcentral